AUGAGUAUCAGGAUUAGGGGAUGCAGAGCCGUGGGACACAUGGUACAACAUAGGGUAGUGCUCCCCCUCCCAGCUGUAGUGCGGGGCGAAACAUGGUGCGAGCAAGAUGCACUGUUGUCGCACUCUCUCUAUUCUUCAUCCCACGCUCUCAUUCUCAUCUUACUGAUGACAUCGGUGACAUACAGAGUUGAGGAAUAUCUUGAUCAAUAUAAAAUCUGGAUGCUCAUGCUGGACUUGAUGCGAAAAGCACUGACCGCCCACUGCGUGCCUUAUCUCAUCGCCGACGCCACUCCUCUCCUUCUUUUAUCCAGAUCGCCAAUUCCUCCGCUCAUCCUAAUCCAGCGCUGGUCCUCUUCUUCUUCUCUCACCAUCCAAUCUAGCCAAGAGCCGCACUCAUCGGCCCCGUGCUCCGGAUCAGGCCAGAAGCCUCGCCUACGACCUGAUUCAGACUGCCUAGCCUUCGCCACCUGCGCCGUGCCCCAGAGGUUCGGCCGAUCCCGCGUCGCUCAUUCUCGCUUCUUCCACUGCUCGCGGCUCGCGUUGACUGCGAGAGGCCACAUGCCUCGUCCAACCACAUCCUCUCACUGCCUUGCUCCUCCACCACCACUCCUCUCCCUUCUUCCUCCCCUCCCUGCCAGCCAGGGCACUCUCCCUCUCCCGCCUCCGUUCGCCGCAGGUGAGUGCAUGGCUACGGGUGUCUGGCCAGCAGCAACAGCUGCGGCAGUUCCGCGCCCGGAGAAGCCGCGCGCUGGGCGAUGUGGAGGAGGACGACAUGCUGCUUCCUCAUUCGGGCGUCCUCCUCUGCGCCGUCGAGAGACGGCCAUGGCCGCCCGAUGCCCGAGCGCCGCCGGCCAAGGAUCCGCCGGCGUCCAGACCCCCUCCACGCCAUCCCCAUCUCGCCGGAGACCUACACCAAGUCACAUCCAGCGCUCGCACCACCCUUCGGGCCCUGCCCCGCAGCUCUGCAGCCCGAGCGCUUCGGCCGCCUCGCACCCGAAGCAGAGGAGAGGAGCUCCCUACCACGAGCCUCUCCAGCCCCGGCAAACCAGCAGGCCGACCCCGCCUCCUUCUCACUUCCCUCCUCCUUCCUUUUUUUCCGCCGGGACGCAUCACCCCUUCCUUGGCUUCUGCGGAGUGGAAGCCGGCGGCAAGCUGCGGCCCGUGCCCGGCGGUGGAGAAGGCAAACGGGGUAGAAUUGUAACUAAUGCAGGGGCGUUUAUAUUCAUUGGAGAGCUGGAGAGUAUUAAAGAACGCAAACCGGUUGGGAUAUCAAGGACAGGAGGGGAUAUGCAACGUAGAACUCGUCUGAGAGCUCCUCCGGCGAACCAUGCAAAGCUUCAUGUGGAUGCGGCCGUGAGACCAGGGCAAGGUGGUUCGGCAGCAGUUGUGUGCAGGGAUGCCGAGGGGAACUACCUGGGUAGCACAGCCCUGGUGGUGCAAGGAGUGGAUGACCCAAUGAUUUUGGAGUCGAUAGCCUGCAGGGAGGCACUUUGUGCAGCUGAGGAUCUUCUGUUGCAGAGUUUUGUGGUCGCGUCACAUGCAAAACAGGUGGUCAGAGACAUUGCUGGAGGGAAAACAAUGGAUUCCGAUGCAUCGUCGGACGAGGAGUAUGGCCCGACGGAGCUUGACCAAAUGAUUCAAGAUAAGUUCUUCGAUUCGUCGGAUUCGAACAAAGAAGUGAACAUGAUCAUGCUCAUGAGCAUGCAAGAGGAAAUAGACUGGCAAGUCGAGCAUAUUCUCAACUUCAAGGGCUCAAUCAAAGGGAGAAGAGUGAUCAACCAGGACAGAGUGUCCGGAGCAAAGCUACUGCACAAUGACUACUUUGCUCCCACACCUGCUUUUCCGAAUGAUCCAUGUUGCUUCCAUAAGAAGAAAAAGAUCUCGAGUCGAGAGGACUUGACAGCACGUACCAGCAUGCACUCACAAGCCGAUCGAGCUAACCAUCGAUCGAACAGCCUCAUGAUCAAGACUUGGAUUGACAGCCAGCUUUUGAGUUUGCUUUACUCAAGGAACAUGGAGAAUAACCAAAGACCAGCCAAAGCUCGGGCACGCAGGACCAACCCAUGCAUGCAUGCAUGCAUCUCGAGCAAAAAAUCCAAUCAAGUUUGCUUUAAACAUGACCAAAUCAGACCAAACAGGGUUUUGAUUAGCUGGUAA
RNAcentral lists this ribosomal RNA (2157 nucleotides) under Triticum aestivum (bread wheat). RNAcentral's name for it is "partial small subunit ribosomal RNA". Lineage: Eukaryota; Viridiplantae; Streptophyta; Magnoliopsida; Poales; Poaceae. The record is from RNAcentral.